AUACAGAGGGUGCGAGCGUUAAUCGGAAUUACGGGGCGUAAAGCGCGCGUAGGCGGCUUGGUCAGUCGGAUGUGAAAGCCCCGGGCUUAACCUGGGAAUUGCAUUCGAUACUGGCAAGCUAGAGUAUAGUAGAGGCAAGUGGAAUUCCGGGUGUAGCGGUGAAAUGCGUAGAUAUCCGGAGGAACAUCAGUGGCGAAGGCGACUUGCUGGACUAAUACUGACGCUGAGGAGCGAAAGCGUGGGGAGCAAACGGGAUUAGAUACCCCAGUAGUCC
RNAcentral lists this ribosomal RNA (274 nucleotides) under uncultured bacterium. RNAcentral describes it as "partial 16S ribosomal RNA". It matches the Rfam family "Bacterial small subunit ribosomal RNA", at positions 523 to 796 of the family's 1533-position model. The record is from RNAcentral.